ACGGAGGGUGCAAGCAUUAAUCGGAAUUAUUGGGCGUAAAGGGCGCGUAGGCGGGAUUAAAAGUCAGAUGUGAAAUUCCGAAGCUCAACUUCGGAGCCGCAUUUGAAACUGCAAUUCUUGAGGGAUGGCGGAGGAAACGGAAUUCCACGUGUAGCGGUGAAAUGCGUAGAUAUGUGGAAGAACACCUGUGGCGAAAGCGGUUUUCUAGCUUUUACCUGACGCUGAGGCGCGAGAGCAAGGGGAGCAAACAGG
Molecule: ribosomal RNA, 252 nt
Filed under: uncultured bacterium
Lineage: Bacteria
Description: partial 16S ribosomal RNA
Rfam family: Bacterial small subunit ribosomal RNA
Source: RNAcentral